CAUUAUCGAGUUCGUGCCCGCUAUGGGUAGACCUCCCACCCUCUGUUAUCAUUACCUUUGUUGCUUUGGCGGGCCGUCCGGCCUCGGUCAGGCUACCGGCUCCGGCUGGUAAGCGCCCGCCAGAGGACCCCAAACCCUGAAUCUUUAGUGUCGUCUGAGUACUAUCUAAUAGUUAAAACUUUCAACAACGGAUCUCUUGGUUCUGGCAUCGAUGAAGAACGCAGCGAAAUGCGAUAAGUAAUGUGAAUUGCAGAAUUCAGUGAAUCAUCGAAUCUUUGAACGCACAUUGCGCCCCUUGGUAUUCCGAGGGGCAUGCCUGUUCGAGCGUCAUGACAACCCUCAAGCGUAGCUUGGUCUUGGGCACCGCGGCUCACCCCGCGGGCCCCAAAAUCAGUGGCGGUGCCGCCGGGCCCUGAGCGUAGUAAAUCUCCUCGCUACAGGGACCCGGUGGACGCUGGCCAUCAACCCCAACUUCUCUAAGUUUGACCUCGGAUCAGGUAGGGAUACCCGCUGAACUUAAGCAUAUCAAUAAGCGGAGGAAAAGAAACCAACAGGGAUUGCCUCAGUAACGGCGAGUGAAGCGGCAACAGCUCAAAUUUGAAAUCUGGCUCUUUCAGGGUCCGAGUUGUAAUUUGUAGAAGAUGCUUCGGGUGUGGCUCUGGUCUAAGUUCCUUGGAACAGGACGUCAUAGAGGGUGAGAAUCCCGUAUGUGACUGGCAGCCUUCGCCUAUGUGAAGCUCUUUCGACGAGUCGAGUUGUUUGGGAAUGCAGCUCAAAAUG
Molecule: ribosomal RNA, 780 nt
Filed under: uncultured fungus
Lineage: Eukaryota; Fungi
Description: eukaryotic LSU rRNA
Rfam family: Eukaryotic large subunit ribosomal RNA (bases 484-780)
Source: RNAcentral